This 501-nucleotide ribosomal RNA is filed under the name uncultured bacterium. RNAcentral describes it as "partial 16S ribosomal RNA". It matches the Rfam family "Bacterial small subunit ribosomal RNA", at positions 29 to 523 of the family's 1533-position model. The record is from RNAcentral.
AUUGAACGCUGGCGGCAUGCCUUACACAUGCAAGUCGAACGGCAGCACGGGUGCUUGCACCUGGUGGCGAGUGGCGAACGGGUGAGUAAUACAUCGGAACGUACCUUAUCGUGGGGGAUAACGCAGCGAAAGCUGUGCUAAUACCGCAUACGCCCUGAGGGGGAAAGCGGGGGAUCGAAAGACCUCGCGCGAUUGGAGCGGCCGAUGCCUGAUUAGCUUGUUGGUGGGGUAAAAGCCCACCAAGGCGACGAUCAGUAGCUGGUCUGAGAGGACGAUCAGCCACACUGGGACGAGGACACGGCCCAGACUCCUACGGGAGGCAGCAGUGGGGAACUUUGGACAAUGGGGGCAACCCUGAUCCAGCAAUGCCGCGUGAGUGAAGAAGGCCUUCGGGUUGUAAAGCUCUUUUGUCAGGGAAGAAACACCGGCUCUAACACAGUCCGGGAAUGACGGUACCUGAAGAGUAAGCACCGGCUAACUACGUGCCAGCAGCCGCGGUAA